UUGAGCCGUAUGCGGUGAAAGUCGCACGUACAGUUCUUAGGGGGGCCCUAGCGGACUGUUUGGUUAGUUCAAUAACUUAUUCUUGAU
Non-coding RNA from Pseudomonas taeanensis MS-3, 87 nucleotides. Lineage: Bacteria; Pseudomonadati; Pseudomonadota; Gammaproteobacteria; Pseudomonadales; Pseudomonadaceae. The record is from Rfam.